RNAcentral lists this unclassified non-coding RNA (240 nucleotides) under soil metagenome. RNAcentral describes it as "partial contains 5.8S ribosomal RNA, internal transcribed spacer 2, and large subunit ribosomal RNA". The record is from RNAcentral.
AACCAUAGAAACCUGCGGAGUACCUGCGGAAGGAUCAUUACAGAGUUGAAAAACUCCCUAACCCUUUGUUUAUAUACCUGUUCAGUUGCUUCGGCAGGCGGCCCCAGGGCGGGGCCUCCAGCCUGCUCACGCAGGUGCCUGCCGCUGGCGCAAAAAACUCUUUGUUAUAUGUUACCACUCUGAGUCUAAAAAAAAUGAAUCAAAACUUUUAACAACGGAUCUCAGAUCGGAAGAGCACAC